RNAcentral lists this transfer RNA (64 nucleotides) under Cyllorhynchites ursulus. RNAcentral's name for it is "tRNA-Phe". The record is from RNAcentral. Lineage: Eukaryota; Metazoa; Arthropoda; Insecta; Coleoptera; Attelabidae.
ACUUAAAUAGCUUAAUGAAGAGCAUGGUAUUGAAGAUACCAAGGUAAUACCGUAUUUUUAAGUA